GGUUGUGGUUCGGUGGCAGAGCAUGUGCUUAUCAUGCACAAGGCCCUGAGUUCAAUCCCCAGCACCA
RNAcentral lists this transfer RNA (67 nucleotides) under Marmota monax (woodchuck). Its description in RNAcentral is "tRNA.Asp". It matches the Rfam family "tRNA". From Rfam's summary of the family: Transfer RNA (tRNA) molecules are approximately 80 nucleotides in length. Their secondary structure includes four short double-helical elements and three loops (D, anti-codon, and T loops). Further hydrogen bonds mediate the characteristic L-shaped molecular structure. tRNAs have two regions of fundamental functional importance: the anti-codon, which is responsible for specific mRNA codon recognition, and the 3' end, to which the tRNAs corresponding amino acid is attached (by aminoacyl-tRNA synthetases). tRNAs cope with the degeneracy of the genetic code in two manners: having more than one tRNA (with a specific anti-codon) for a particular amino acid; and 'wobble' base-pairing, i.e. permitting non-standard base-pairing at the 3rd anti-codon position. Lineage: Eukaryota; Metazoa; Chordata; Mammalia; Rodentia; Sciuridae. The record is from RNAcentral.